RNAcentral lists this ribosomal RNA (385 nucleotides) under uncultured bacterium. Its description in RNAcentral is "bacterial SSU rRNA". It matches the Rfam family "Bacterial small subunit ribosomal RNA", at positions 331 to 733 of the family's 1533-position model. The record is from RNAcentral.
CCAGACUCCUACGGGAGGCAGCAGUGGGGAAUAUUGGGCAAUGGGCGCAAGCCUGACCCAGCAACGCCGCGUGAGUGAAGAAGUAAUUCGUUAUGUAAAGCUCUAUCAGCAGGGAAGAAAAUGACGGUACCUGAGUAAGAAGCCCCGGCUAACUACGUGCCAGCAGCCGCGGUAAUACGUAGGUGGCAAGCGUUGUCCGGAUUUACUGGGUGUAAAGGGCGUGCAGCCGGAGAGACAAGUCAGAUGUGAAAUCCACGGGCGCAACCCGUGAACUGCAUUUGAAACUGUUUCCCUUGAGUGUCGGAGAGGUAAUCGGAAUUCCUUGUGUAGCGGUGAAAUGCGUAGAUAUAAGGAGGAGCACCAGUGGCGAGGGCGGAUUACUGGA